GGGGUUGUGGCUCAGUGGUAGAGCGCUCGCCUAGCAUGUGCGAGGCCCUGGGUUUGAUCCUCAGCACCACA
Molecule: transfer RNA, 71 nt
Filed under: Marmota monax (woodchuck)
Lineage: Eukaryota; Metazoa; Chordata; Mammalia; Rodentia; Sciuridae
Description: tRNA.Ala
Rfam family: tRNA
About the family: Transfer RNA (tRNA) molecules are approximately 80 nucleotides in length.
Source: RNAcentral